UGAUGCUUUGAGCAGAAAAUCCAUCACAGCUUUGAGAUCAUUGAAUGCCUGUCUAUCAUUGGCUCGAGAUAGAGUUAUUUUGGCUGAGUUAUAAGUGAGGCCAAACCUGCUACAGUAGAUUUUAGAUGGGCAGAAGGUAGAUGAGAAGUUAAUGGCUACUAUGAGCAAAAUCUCAGAAGGGAAGACAACUGACUAUGAAGUGAAAGCAGAUGGGUGUCUGCACUACAAAGGAAGAGUGUGUGUACCAGAUGAUGGGAAAUUGAAAGCCAGUAUCCUGAAAGAGGCACACACCAGUGUUUAU
Molecule: unclassified non-coding RNA, 301 nt
Filed under: Hevea brasiliensis (rubber tree)
Lineage: Eukaryota; Viridiplantae; Streptophyta; Magnoliopsida; Malpighiales; Euphorbiaceae
Source: RNAcentral